CUCCAGCCUCCCGAAUGGUUCAAAACACACCCUCUGACCACCCUGGACCUCAGAAGGCUCUGCCUGUGUGUCUGCGUCGUCCUCCAUGUAGACCUAGCGCCGGCUCCUCCCUGGCUCGCGCUGCGCUGGGGUCUGUGCUGUAUAGUUCUCUCUAUUAUAUAUGUGUGUGCACUGUCUGGUCAAGAGCAGUGUCCAUGUGCGUUUCUGUGGCAGCAGUGCACGUGGGGUGGGUGGGGGGUGUGUACGGUGGGGCUUGUAGGUUAAGAUGUCUCUGCGGUGUUGUCGUGGGGCUGGAGGCUGAGCCAGGCGUGGUAGCUGGCCCUCUCCGGGCGCACGGAGGAAUUCUCCCUUUGACGUUCCAAGGAUGCCGCCGCCUCCUGCCGGGGCUCCUGGGGUGGCCGGCCAACACUAAGAAGGGCAGCAAGUCCUCAGGGCGCCGGGGAGCCGCCACUCUGCUCUCAGGCUCUACUCAGACUAGCACCAACAGUCUCCAGGGACAGGCUCGCAUCGGCCGCCCUGCGGCUUGGCCUCCUCCCAUAGGAUCCUCUUCCUCCCUCUCAUUCAUCAAGUCUUCAAACUUUGAAAAACAUAUGAGCUUUUGCCAAAUAAGACGGGAUAGUUGAUGGAGUUUUCUGAGGCUCACUGGACUCCGGUCAGCCCUCGAGCGUGGGCCCAGCCGUCGGCAGCCCCGGGGGGUUGGCCCAGCUGGCCCGUCACCGCCUGGCCCGCCCUGGCCUCCACCGUCACAGUUCAUGCUGGUGCCGGGCUGCACACCCACUCCUGGUAUGCCUGAGGUUCUCCAGGGGCCAAGCCAGUCCUCCCUUGAGGCCCUCUCUUCCAGGGCCAGGAUGCUCCUGUGGAGCCAGCCCACCUCGGCUGGGGUCCCAGGGACUGGAUGCCUGUCUGCUUAGCCUCCGUGUACCAACCCCCUGACUUUCAAGUCCUUGUGCCCUGACCAAGUUCUGAGGAAAAGAGCGCUCAGGGCCUCGAGGUGGCUCGCCCCCCUCAAACUCACCUAGUCUCCUCCCAAGUCUAUGAGCUCAGACACGGGGGCUCCAUCUGUCUUUUCCUGAGGUCCCGAAUCUUGUCCCUGCUCUGAUUCUGUCAGCAGAUCCUGAACACUCCUUGGUGGGGACCCCCGCCUCCAAGGCAGACCCCAAUGCCAGCUGCCCUGGGGAAACUCCCCAGAACUCUCGGGGAAAGGCCCGAGAACCUUCCGAGGAAGCCUCCGGGACUCCUCUCCACUUGCUCUGUUUCUCUCCUGGCCCCGCUGCCUUCAGGUAUCAGGAAGAGGGCAGGCCCCUGCGCCUCCUCUCCCCUUCCCAGGUCGGCCAACAAUACUCCAGCGUGGGGCACUUCCUUUCUUUUCUGCAAACUCUCUAAGACAUUGGACCGAAGGAACUAGCCUGAGGGGGGCUGACCGGGGCCGGUGCUGCUGGGUGCUCUACCCACGGAGGCCGCCGGGGGUCACGGACAGGAACCUCAGCCCAAGGGUGCUGGCCUUUCUCCUUCACAAGAGUCCCCCAGGAUCCACACAGCGACUCAAGCAGCCUUCCGCUCAGCCGGAGGAGGGCCAGGCUCCCCCCCGCCUGCUCUGGGUGGUGGCGUCUGGCCCUUCCUGCCCUUUCCAAGGCCUCCGGAAGCACCAACUCAGUUCUCAGUUACCUCCUCUGGCCAGAAGGUCUCACGCUGUCCUCCAGAGCUGCUCUGGGCCCAGGGCUGGCUCCAUGACCACCCCGAUGGACGUGCUGGGCAGCAUGGGCCCCGAUAGCAGUCCCCAGCUGCUCUCCCACCCCACCCCAGCUGCCCGGCGGCUGGGCCCACGAGGGCUCUGGGGACACUUCCAUAGGAAGGGGCCCGGCACUUUGUGAUUGCCACGUGUCUCGUGUUAAGCCGCCCGCCCCCAGUGCAAAUUUCUGUGUUUCUCUCCUGAACAAAAAUGUAAACCGACGCCGGAAAGCAAAUGGUAUCGAAUACCUUUCUUGCCCACAAGGGUUUUUACAAAGAAUGUGUCUCACUAGGAACUAGGACACUCAUCGGCCCAAGACCAACUCCUGAAUAAAAGGAAUAAGGAGAAUCGUGUUUGUAACGAGUUACAGGAUCGUUUCUUUCCUGGAUUUUAAACUUUUUGUUAAAUCGUGAAAUUAUGGAGGAGUUUUAUAGAAAAAAAAAAGUGAAAUAAAGUCAGAUGGGAAAGCAGA
Molecule: non-coding RNA, 2201 nt
Organism: Saimiri boliviensis boliviensis (Bolivian squirrel monkey)
Lineage: Eukaryota; Metazoa; Chordata; Mammalia; Primates; Cebidae
Source: RefSeq, a predicted model, not a curated record